Non-coding RNA from Acanthosepion pharaonis, 104 nucleotides. The record is from the annotation of a GenBank genome assembly. NCBI's taxonomy places the organism in Eukaryota, Metazoa, Mollusca, Cephalopoda, Sepiida, Sepiidae.
UGCGUCUAUAUCUCAUUGAAACACUGGUUCACGUACAAUUACCGAAGUCAAGCAAUGUUGAGCCUGGUUAGUACCUAAAUGGGUGACCGCUUGGGAAUACCAAG